CAGUAGCCGCGGUAAUACGUAGGUGGCAAGCGUUGUCCGGAAUUAUUGGGCGUAAAGGGCUCGCAGGCGGUUUCUUAAGUCUGAUGUGAAAGCCCCCGGCUCAACCGGGGAGGGUCAUUGGAAACUGGGAAACUUGAGUGCAGAGGAGGAGAGUGGAAUUCCACGUGUAGCGGUGAAAUGCGUAGAGAUGUGGAGGAACACCAGUGGCGAAGGCGACUCUCUGGUCUGUAACUGACGCUGAGGAGCGAAAGCGUGGGGAGCGAACAGGAUUAGAUACCCCUGUAGUCCCUGUCUCUUAUAC
This 301-nucleotide ribosomal RNA is filed under the name uncultured bacterium. RNAcentral describes it as "partial 16S ribosomal RNA". It matches the Rfam family "Bacterial small subunit ribosomal RNA", at positions 509 to 807 of the family's 1533-position model. The record is from RNAcentral.